GGAGUCAGUUCUCCCUCAGGCGGCCCCCGGCGCCUUCCCGCUUUACCUUCCCCAAGGCUGAAGCCCUCGAGCCGGCUGCGGCGCUGGGUCCUGCGGCGUUCCGGAUGUUGCUUCCUCUCCUUCCUGCUCCCGGACGCUAACUCAACUUUUUGUUAAGCAAAUUCUCACCUCGCAAUCCAACUGGAUGCUCCAAGGAAUAUUUAUUGAGCGCCCCCAUGUGUCAGGCCCUAGGUGACCAGGCAUCCCCCAAGAACUGGUGGCCGGGCUUCACCAGGUACACCUCUGCAGGAACUGCUGUCUCUGGCACUGAGAGGGUAGACUUCCAGAACAUUCUAGAGAACAAAUCUCCAGCGAGUCCCACUGGCACAGCACCACAGUGACUUCUCUGCCACCUAGCAAACUGUGGAAGUACUCCGAUGAGGUCUGGAUCUCAGCUCUGAGGAAAGGAAGAAGAAGGCCUUUGUUUUGUUAUGUUUUUAUGGGUAAGACUAGCCAGUCUCUUGAUAUUCCAGUUCCCUGUGAUAGUUUACAUUUUGUUG
RNAcentral lists this long non-coding RNA (539 nucleotides) under Fukomys damarensis (Damara mole-rat). RNAcentral describes it as "lncRNA (ENSFDAG00000033117.1)". The record is from RNAcentral. Lineage: Eukaryota; Metazoa; Chordata; Mammalia; Rodentia; Bathyergidae.